RNAcentral lists this unclassified non-coding RNA (162 nucleotides) under uncultured Talaromyces. Its description in RNAcentral is "sequence contains ITS2". The record is from RNAcentral. Lineage: Eukaryota; Fungi; Ascomycota; Eurotiomycetes; Eurotiales; Trichocomaceae.
CUGCCCUCAAGCACGGCUUGUGUGUUGGGUGUGGUCCUCCCGGUUUUGGGGGGACCUGCCCGAAAGGCAGCGGCGACGCCCCGCAGGUCCUCGAGCAUAUGGGGCUUUGUCACUGGCUCGGGAGGGACCCGCGGGCGUUGGCCAACCACUAUUCUUUGACGG